AAAAUGUACUGCAUUUUAUUAUAUAAAAGUACAAUUGGGGGGAGGGGGGACGGAUAGCAUUGGGAGAUAUACCUAAUGCUAGAUGACGAGUUAGUGGGUGCAGCGCACCAGCAUGGCACAUGUAUACAUAUGUAACUAACCUGCACAUUGUGCACAUGUACCCUAAAACUUAAAGUAUAAUAAAAAAAGUACAAUUAGUAAAAUAUAUGAAUAAUAUACUAGUUUUCUCAUAAUGCAAAAGAAUAUUACUCUUAACACCUACCUUGUGCAUCACUCAAUAGUAUAAGUUAACCACAAAGAACCUCUCCACUUAGAUUUUCACCAUGCAUCUUACAUUUUAAUAUUCUUACUCAUCCAUAGAAAAGAUCAUAAAUAAUGCCCAUCUAAUGAAGAAGAAUCUCUCAUACCUCUGAUGCAGCAACAAAUGAUCACAAGCUUUCACAAGUGAAUAAGAAUGAAGAAACAGCAGAAAAUAAUGAGUUGAGUUACAUCAUUUGCUUUUCAAAAAAUCUGUAAUUUUUUCAAGAAACAAAGUAUAAUCCGAAUAUAGUUAUUAUUCUACAAAAAAUCUUUUACUCCUCUUAACAUUAUAUACAAAUAAUUUUUCUACCAACUUUAGUUUUAUUUUCUAUACUCAGAACUCUCAUUUAGUAGAAUAUUCGAAGUGUCGCUUCCUCAUAUAUUUCUACUAUAAAUUCUGGUAUUUACAUAGACAAAUUUGGAUUAAAAUUUUUUUUAUUUUUACUACACCUUUGAAAAUAUAUUUUCGUAUAAACUCUGGUGUUUUCUAAGCUGUAGUUUUUGAAAAUUUGUUUUCCCAAAUUUAUUACAUUUGCAAGACAGCUCUCCAAUAUAAAUUCCCUGAUGUUGAACAAAGUUUGAGUGACCUCUUCAGAGUUUUUCUGUAGUACAAAAUGUGGACAAUAAGAUCUGAUACAAGUAAAGGUACUUCAACCCUCUUUAUGGUUGUAAUGUUCAUCUUUAAUAUAAAUACUCUCCUUCACUUUAAAGGAUAAUAUUUUCUGAAAGAUCUUUUGGCAGUAAUUGCACUUAUCAUGCUUUUAUUAAGCAUGAACUCUCUGGUGUUUAGUAAGAUGUGAGCAGAUAUUGACGUCUUUUUCACAGUCUAUAUUUCUACAAUUUUUCUCAAAUAUAAAUGAUUUUCUGUGCAAUAAGGUGUAUUAGUUAAAAACUUUGCCACAUUGUUCUUACUUGUAGGAAAUUUUUCCAAUAUGAAUAUUACCUAUAAUCAAGUGUGACAACCAUUUAAAUACUUUGUUACAUUCUCCACAUUUCUAGGAUUUCUCACCAAUAUGAUUUCUUUUAUGAUUAGAAAAGUUUGAGAUGUUGUCAGAAGCACUGUCACAUCUUACUGGUUUGUAGAGUUUCUCUGCAGUAAGAAUUAUCUUAUGUUUACUAAUGGAUGAGGAUUUGUUAAAAGCUUUGCCACAUUCUUCACAUUUGUAUAAUUUAUCUCCUUUAUGAAUUAUUUUAUGUUUAGUAAGGUAUAAGAAUCAGUAAAAAGCUUUGAGACAUUCCUCAUAUUUGUAGGGUUUCCUUCCAGUAUGAAUUAUCUUACGUGUAGGCAGGGUUGAGAAGUGGUUAAAAGCUUUGUCACAUUCUUCAUAUUUGUAGGAUUUCUCUAUGGUAUGAAUUCUCUUAUGUUUAGUAAGGGAUGAGAACUAAUUAAAGCCUUUGCCACAUUCUUCACAUCUGUAGAAUUUCUCUCCAAUAUGAAUUAUCUUAUAUUUAGUAAGGUAUGAGAAUCAAUAGAAAUCUUUGCCACAUUCUUCACAUUUGUAGGGUUUCUCUCCAGCAUUAAUUAUCUUAUGUGUAUUAAGGGUAAAGUACUGGUGAAAAGCUUUGCCACAUUCUUUAGUAAGGGAAUAGGAGCAGUAAAGGCCUUUGCCACAUUCUUCACUUUUGUACAGUCUCUUCAGUAUGAAUUCCAAUAUGAAUUAUCUUAUGUCUACUAAGAUGUGAAGACCGCCUAAAAGCUUUGCCACAUGCUUCACAUUUGUAGGGUUUGUCUCCAGUAUGAAUUAGCUUAUGUUUAAUAAGGUUUGAGGAAUGGUUAAAAGCUUUGCCACAUUCUUCACAUUUGCAAGGUUUCUCUCCAGUAUGAAUUAUCUUAUGCGUAUUAAGGUUUGAGAAUCGGUAGAAAGUUUUGCCACAUUUUUCACAUUUGUAGGGUUUCUCUUCAGUAUGAAUUAUCUUAUGUUUAGUAAGGGUUGAGAAUAUACUAAAGGCUUUGCCACAUUCUUCACAUUUGUAGGGUUUUUGUACACUAUGAAUUUGCUUGUGCCCAGCGAGGUGUGAGGACCGCUUAAAAGCUUUGCCACAUUCUUCACAUUUGUAGGGUUUUUCUCCAGUAUGAAUUUUCUUAUGUAUACUAAGGAUUGAAGAUCGGUUAAAAGCUUUGCCACAUUCUUCACAUUUGUAGGGUUUCUUAUCAGUAUGAAUUAUCUUGUGUUUAGUAAGGGUUGAGAAUACACUAAAGGAUUUGCCACAUUCUUUACAUUUGUAGGGUUUGUGUCCAGUAUGAAUUCUCUUAUGUGUAGUAAGGUGUGAGGACCGAUUAAAAGCUUUGCCACAUUCUUCACAUUUGUAGGGUUUUUCUCCAGUGUGAAUCAUUUUAUGUAUAGUAAGGGUUGAAGAUCGUUUAAAAGCUUUGCCACAUUCUUCACAUUUGUAGGGUUUUUCUCCAGUAUGAAUUAUUUUAUGUAUACUAAGGGUUGAAGAUUGGUUAAAAGCUUUGCCACAUUCUUCACAUUUGUAGGGUUUCUCUUCAGUAUGAAUUAUCCUAUGUUUAGUAAGGGUUGAAGAUCGUUUAAAAGCUUUGCCACAUUCUUCACAUUUGUAGGGUUUCUCUUCUGUAUGAAUUAUUUUAUGUUUAGUAAGAAUUGAGAAUACACUAAAGGUUUUGCCACAUUCUUCACAUUUGUAGGGUUUCUCUCCAGUAUGAAUUCUUUUAUGUGUAGUAAGGUGUGAAGACUCCUUAUAAGCUUUGCCACAUUCUUCACAUCUGUGGGAUUUCUCUUCAGUGUGAAUUAUCUUAUGUUUAGUAAGGGUUGAGAAAAUACUAAAGGCUUUGCCACAUUCUUCACAUUUGUAGGGUUUCUCUCCAGUAUGAAUUCUUUUAUGUGUAGUAAGGUGUGAGGACUCCUUAUAAGCUUUGCAAUAUUCUUCACAUCUGUGGGAUUUCUCUUCAGUGUGAAUUAUCUUAUGUUUAGUAGGGGUUGAGAAAAUACUAAAGGCUUUGCCACAUUCUUCACAUUUAUAGGGUUUUUCUCCAUUAUGAAUUAUCUUAUGUCCAGUAAGGGUUGAAGAUUGGUUAAAAGUUUUGCCAUAUUGUUCACAUUUAUAGGGUUUCUCUCUAGUAUGAAUUAGCUUAUGCCUAGUAAGGUAUGAGAAUUGGUAGAAAGAUGUGCCACAUUCUUCACAUUUGUAGGGUUUCUGUCCAGUAUGAAUUCUCUUAUGUGUAGUAAGGUUUGAGUCCUGGUUAAAAGAUUUGCCACAUUCAUAUUUGUAGGAUUUCUCUCCAGUAUGAACUCUCCUGUGUCUAGUAAGGGUUGAAAACCAGAUAAAGGCUUUGCCACAUUCUUCACAUCGGUAAGAAUUCUCUCUAAUAUGAAUUCUUUUAUGCUGACAUAGGUGUAAAAGCAUGCAAAAUGAUUUGCCACAUUUUUUACAUUUGAAAGGUUUCUUUCCAGUAUGUUUUGUGUUAUGUCUAUUUGAAUUUAAAA
This 3746-nucleotide long non-coding RNA is filed under the name Homo sapiens (human). RNAcentral's name for it is "non-protein coding lnc-ZNF708-1:1". The record is from RNAcentral. Lineage: Eukaryota; Metazoa; Chordata; Mammalia; Primates; Hominidae.